GAAAGAGGGAAAACGGUCGCGCUUUAUGAUUGCAUAAGGUGAGAAAAGUCCGAGCUCCACAGAGCCGGGGUGCCUGGUAACGCCAGGGCGGAGAAAUCCGACGGAAAGUGCCACAGAAAACAGACAGCCCACCUGGCGAUGAUUCUCGUCGUCAGCGGCGAUGGUGAAAACGAGGUGUAAGAGACCCCGCCUGUCACAGGAAACUGCGGCAGGGGUAAACCCCACCCGGAGCAAGGCCAAAUAGGGAAAGAGGGGUUGGCUCGCCCCGCUUGAUUUCCGGGUAGGUCGCACAGAACCGGCAGGCAACUGUCCGGUCAAGAUAAAUGGCCGUAUUCGCCGUUAGGGCGAAACAGAACUCGGCUUAGUUUCCUCUUUCUGGC
Molecule: RNase P RNA, 380 nt
Filed under: Candidatus Zixiibacteriota bacterium
Lineage: Bacteria; Pseudomonadati; Candidatus Zixiibacteriota
Description: candidate division Zixibacteria bacterium RNase P RNA component class A
Rfam family: Bacterial RNase P class A
About the family: Ribonuclease P (RNase P) is a ubiquitous endoribonuclease, found in archaea, bacteria and eukarya as well as chloroplasts and mitochondria. Its best characterised activity is the generation of mature 5'-ends of tRNAs by cleaving the 5'-leader elements of precursor-tRNAs. Cellular RNase Ps are ribonucleoproteins.
Source: RNAcentral